Xenopus laevis (African clawed frog) is the source of this 2110-nucleotide long non-coding RNA. RefSeq lists it as uncharacterized. The transcript is spliced from 3 exons. Lineage: Eukaryota; Metazoa; Chordata; Amphibia; Anura; Pipidae. The record is from RefSeq and is a predicted model, not a curated record.
UGCAUUAGGGAGUAAGAAGUAUAGUUUCAGCUCUGGUAAUCCUGAUAAUUUGUCUCUACUAUAACAUUUGCUAUAUACUUUAUAUUGUAGCAUGCCCAGAUUUGUGGAUCCGGGAUUCCAGACAGUUGUUGUAACCUAGGAUUGUACCACAGCGGAGUAAAACCUGAGCAAUGCUGUUGCGAACUAGGAUAAAAUUGAAGUAUAGACUACCAGGCCCAGAGAGAAAGCUUUGGUGGUGUAAGUGGUACCACUGUAUGAAUCCUAAAUCUGAUCAGGAGGUGUUUUGACAUACAAUGGAUGUGAGAAGGUGCCUAUCUAUUUACCUGGAAAGGAUGAAACCUGUUAGAAAGUCUCAAAUACAGUACCCUAAGGCUGGAGGUGCAGCUUUCUGUAGCCUGGGAGAACCAGUUCAGAUCUGAAUAUGAAAGAAAGUGUGAUUUUUUGUUUGGUGAUGGAAACUGGAGGAGGUUGGUCCAGGACCAAGACUUUUCUGGGAUGUUCAUUUGGGUUGAUGGUGGGGGAAGGAAAGUUGUAUGAACAAACCAAGACUUUGCAAACUGCCUUUUGAUUUGGUGUGUUUGGUGGAAAGUUGCCAAUGGACAGAGGGAUGUACUUUGCAGGCUGGAGGGUUUAUGGGUAGGUUUGUGUGAUUUUGGUUUGUUUUGUUGUAUGAUUUGUGAACUGUUUAGGAAAUGUUGAUUAUUUACGGUAAAGUGAUUUUAUAAAUAAAAAAAAUCCUAUUCCCUGGUUAGCCUUUCGCCAUCUAGAAAAUUUAAGUCUAAGGUAGAAGGUCACUCCACUGGGGACUCUGGAGAAGUGGAAUUCUAUGUACAUAAAUUAUACAAAUAAAAGGUUUUGGCCCAGUAGAAACAUCCCGUUUGCUCAAUAGUAAAUGUACAGCCCAUGACAAACACUAGUGCUGUGAGGGAUGUUACGGCCUAGAGUCUAUCCGAGCCAUUGUAUUUACCUUUCAAAUUAAAGUGAGGCAGUGGAGACAUUUUGAUCAUUAUAGCCUUUGCUGAGACGCAUAUGGCAGUGAAACACCCACGUGCCAUUUAAAUCAACUUUCAGUAUCAUGAACUGGUUUUCUUUAUUUAGCUUUUAAUUCAGUCGCUCUUAAAUAUGAAAUUUCUACAGCUGCGUGCUAAGGUCUUAGUUCCCUUAGCAACCAGGUAGUGGUAUGAUUGAGAAACUGGAAGAUGAAUAUAAGAAAGAUAAGUAAUAAAAAGUAACAAUAAUAUUAAAAUUGCAGCCUUAAAGAACAGUUGUUUAUUGGUUGCUGGGGGCGAGUGCCCCUAAUGACCAGAAAGCAUAUUCAUUUGUACAACUAGAAAAAGGUAGAAACGGAAGGCAAAAAAUUUAAAAACAAUAACAAAUAAAGUCCAAUCAAAUUUGCUAAGAAUAGGGUAUUCUAUAUCUAUAUAUCAGGUAGCCUCCCUGUGACAUCUGAUUAAGGCUAUUGCCCAAGGCAUGGAGUGUAUUUGCCAAUAAAAGGGAUUUUGCAAUGUGGAGUGACACAGUGGUAAUGAGUCAGGGGAUACUGCUUGUUCAUUUUUAUUUUAAUGGCGGGGUUUAAAGGCAGAAAUUCAAGGGAUUCAAUAUAUGUAGGGUUCACUGACGAGAGCCGGCACUACUGUAAGAAAUGCAAAACUCCUUUUAUUGGGUUGCUUAUAAAGGCAUUUUCCUUAUGGGGGUCAGUAUAUAGGGUCAUUUAUUCACCGGGCUCAAUGUGCAUAGUUAUGUGCAAUGUGCAUAGUCACGGCGACUUUUUUGUCUCUGUGCCAAUUUUGUCGCGGCGCCUUUUUUGUUGUGGCGAUAUUUUUCAUGGUGGAUUUUUGCAAAAAAAUUUGCAGAUGGUGAAGUGUGGAAUUUCGCAAUGAAUCCAUGCCUAGCGAAAAAAUGUGCCCAUCACUAAACGUAUUGUUUAUACAAAAAUGUUCUUUCAUCUGAUCAACACUUUGCAUAAUAAAUACUUAAAUACUGAUUUCUUUUAGCUUAAUUAUGUUGUUAUUCAUGCGGAUUUCUGUCAUGCUAUAGAUAUUAGACAUUCUUGUACAGGUAUGGGAUACAUUAUUCGGAAACCCGUUAUCCAGAAAGCUCCAAAUUACAG